This 487-nucleotide ribosomal RNA is filed under the name uncultured bacterium. RNAcentral describes it as "bacterial SSU rRNA". It matches the Rfam family "Bacterial small subunit ribosomal RNA", at positions 28 to 507 of the family's 1533-position model. The record is from RNAcentral.
GAUGAACGCUAGCUACAGGCUUAACACAUGCAAGUCGAGGGGCAGCAUGUCGGUUGCUUGCAACCGACGAUGGCGACCGGCGCACGGGUGAGUAACGCGUAUCCAACCUACCCUUGUCCAUCGGAUAACCCGUCGAAAGGCGGCCUAACACGAUAUGCGGUUCUCAGCAGGCAUCUAACGAGAACGAAAUGUGAAGGAGAAGGAUGGGGAUGCGUCUGAUUAGCUUGUUGGCGGGGUAACGGCCCACCAAGGCGACGAUCAGUAGGGGUUCUGAGAGGAAGGUCCCCCCACAUUGGAACUGAGACACGGUCCAAACUCCUACGGGAGCAGCAGUGAGGAAUAUUGGUCAAUGGACGGGAGUCUGAACCAGCCAAGUAGCGUGCAGGAUGACGGCCCUAUGGGUUGUAAACUGCUUUUAUAAGGGAUAAAGUGAGUCUCGUGAGACUUUUUGCAUGUACCUUAUGAAUAAGGACCGGCUAAUUCCGUG